GCGGUACUUCGACCGUGCAAAGGUAGCAUAAUCAUUUGCCUUAUAAUUGAAGGCUAGUAUGAAUGGUUUGACGAGAAUUAAGCUGUCUCUUUUUAACUAAAUAUAACUUUAUUAAGAGGUGAAGAAGCCUGUAUUUUAUUGAAAGACAAGAAGACCCUAUCGAGCUUUAAAGAAUUUAGUAGAUUUACCAUAUAUUAAUAAAAAAGUAAAGCAACUAAAUAUUUUGGUUGGGGCGACUGAGGAACAAACAAAGCUUCCUUUAUGCUAAUUAAAACUUACAAGUAUUGAUCCAAUUCAUUUGAUUAAAGAAAUUAGUUACCGUAGGGAUAACAGCAUAAUCUCCUUUGAGAGUUCUCAUCGAAAAGGGGGUUUGUGACCUCGAUGUUGGACCAGAAUACCCAGAAGAUGCAGCCGUCUUCAAUGGUUGGUCUGUUCGACCAUUAAAAUUCU
Molecule: ribosomal RNA, 450 nt
Filed under: Reishia clavigera
Lineage: Eukaryota; Metazoa; Mollusca; Gastropoda; Neogastropoda; Muricidae
Description: partial 16S ribosomal RNA
Rfam family: Bacterial large subunit ribosomal RNA
Source: RNAcentral